UUUGAUCCUGGCUCAGGAUAAACGCUGGCGGCGUGCAUAACACAUGCAAGUCAAGGAGAACGUUUUCUUCGGAAAACAAGUAAACUGGCGGACGGGUUAGUAACGCGUAGGUAACCUGCCUUUAAGAUUGGGAUAACUCAGUGAAAACAGGGCUAAUACCAAAUAAUAUCUAUUUUCUCUGGAUUUUAGAUCAAAGUAGGCUUCGGCUUACACUUUAAGAUGGGCCUGCGUCUGAUUAGUUUGUUGGUAAGGUAAUGGCUUACCAAGGCUACGAUCAGUAGCUGGUUUGAGAGGAUGAUCAGCAACACUGGGACUGAGAUACGGCCCAGACUCCUACGGGAGGCAGCAGUGGGGAAUCUUGCGCAAUGGGCGAAAGCCUGACGCAGCCACGCCGCGUGAGGGAUGAAGGCUUUCGGGUUGUAAACCUCUUUCAGCAGGGACGAAAAUGACGGUACCUGCAGAAGAAGCUCCGGCCAACUACGUGCCAGCAGCCGCGGUAACACGUAGGGAGCAAGCGUUGUCCGGAUUUAUUGGGCGUAAAGAGCUCGUAGGCGGUUCGGUAAGUCGGGUGUGAAAACUUGAGGCUCAACCUCAAGAGGCCACUCGAUACUGCUGUGACUGGAGUCCGGUAGAGGAGUGUGGAAUUCCUGGUGUAGCGGUGAAAUGCGCAGAUAUCAGGAGGAACACCGACAGCGAAGGCAGCACUCUGGGCCGGUACUGACGCUGAGGAGCGAAAGCAUGGGGAGCGAACAGGAUUAGAUACCCUGGUAGUCCAUGCCGUAAACGUUGGGCACUAGGUGUGGGGUCUAGCUAACAGAUUCCGUGCCGCAGCUAACGCAUUAAGUGCCCCGCCUGGGGAGUACGGCCGCAAGGCUAAAACUCAAAGGAAUUGACGGGGGCCCGCACAAGCGGCGGAGCAUGUUGCUUAAUUCGAGGCAACGCGAAGAACCUUACCUGGGUUUGACAUGUAGGGAAAAGCCAUAGAGAUAUGGUGUCCUUAGGGGCCCUACACAGGUGGUGCAUGGCUGUCGUCAGCUCGUGUCGUGAGAUGUUGGGUUAAGUCCCGCAACGAGCGCAACCCUUGUCCUAUGUUGCCAGCGGGUAAUGCCGGGGACUCGUAGGAGACUGCCGGGGUCAACUCGGAGGAAGGUGGGGACGACGUCAAGUCAUCAUGCCCCUUAUAUCCAGGGCUGCAAACAUGCUACAAUGGCCGGUACAGAGGGCUGCAAAACCGCGAGGUUGAGCGAAUCCCACAAAGCCGGUCUCAGUUCGGAUUGGAGUCUGCAACUCGACUCCAUGAAGGCGGAGUCGCUAGUAAUCCCGGAUCAGCAACGCCGGGGUGAAUACGUUCCCGGGCCUUGUACACACCGCCCGUCACACCACGAAAGUCGGCAACACCCGAAGUCAGUGGCCUAACUCUUUUGAGAAGGAGCUGCCGAAGGUGGGGUCAGCGAUUGGGGUGAAGUCGUAACAAGGUAGCC
Molecule: ribosomal RNA, 1481 nt
Filed under: uncultured bacterium
Lineage: Bacteria
Description: bacterial SSU rRNA
Rfam family: Bacterial small subunit ribosomal RNA
Source: RNAcentral